This is a long non-coding RNA of Pocillopora damicornis (cauliflower coral), 933 nucleotides long. The record is from RefSeq and is a predicted model, not a curated record. Lineage: Eukaryota; Metazoa; Cnidaria; Anthozoa; Scleractinia; Pocilloporidae.
AGGUGCACUAUGUCAGCCUUCGACCCGUACAAGGUUAAAAUGGCAAGCCCCAGCAGUCACGUUGAUCGGCCCCUCGUGAAGAGUCCGGCCUUGCAGAAUGGUUCUCUAGGCAUACAGACUAUUGAUGCAAAUUGGCCAACUUGAGCUUUCUUCAGCCUAAUUUAUCCAAUGUGAACUGUGAACUCUUAGAUUUAAUUAGAGGUUCUAUAAUAUUAGUUUUCCAAUGUAUCGCAUGAAAAGGAAAACAAUCCAAAUGACAAAGGGUGUAAAGAACAGACAUCACACUGAAAAGUUAUCGUAACUAUACUAAAGAGUACAUGUCUACGGGGAAGAAAACACCAAUGAGAAACUUUAUUUAGGGGGUUCGAAACAUGAACUGAACUCAGUUACUCUUAAUUUUAAUGUACUAACAAAAGCAUUUAUUGCCACGUACAAUCUGUAUAUACAACUGAAUGAAAACUGUACAAUUGCUGAACUAGCAAGUUGUUUAAUGUAUUCUUCAUAUAUCAAUAUUUUUAAAACGUAAAUGAAGUAAUUCUUAUACAAUGAAAAAAUGCCACAUUUGAUCACGGUAAAAAUCACACUGUACGAUCAGAAUGUUGUUUUAGGCUUUACAGCAUCAUGAUCUCAGCAAUGCAUGGAAUAAUCAGCGCUUACAGUAAUAUAACUUUCCCCAAUUUACAAGGCAAUCGAUAAUUAGGGGUAUCGAAUGGUCUUAGCGAGCAUGCGAGCAGUUUGUUUAUUUUUGCGGGCUCGAGCAGCUGUCAAAUUCUUCUCGCGAGCAGCGAGCACUUUAGAAAAUACAGAUGGCGAGCAACGAGCGGUUUAGAAAAAUAAAGAUGGCGAGCAGCGAGCACUUCGAGUACAGUAUUGACUAUUUGUAAUCUAGUGGAGUGAAUCUGUUAUUAAAACAAACCAAAGAGAACAAAUGAA